UACGGGGGGAGCAAGCGUUGUUCGGAUUUACUGGGCGAAAAGGGCGCGUAGGCGGCAACCGCAAGUCGACUGUGAAAUCUCCGGGCUUAACCCGGAAAGGUCAGCCGAUACUGCGGGGCUAGAGUGCAGAAGGGGCAACUGGAAUUCUCGGUGUAGCGGUGAAAUGCGUAGAUAUCGAGAGGAACACCUGCGGCGAAGGCGGGUUGCUGGGCUGACACUGACGCUGAGGCGCGAAAGCUAGGGGAGCGAACGGG
RNAcentral lists this ribosomal RNA (254 nucleotides) under uncultured bacterium. RNAcentral describes it as "partial 16S ribosomal RNA". It matches the Rfam family "Bacterial small subunit ribosomal RNA", at positions 524 to 776 of the family's 1533-position model. The record is from RNAcentral.